RNAcentral lists this ribosomal RNA (450 nucleotides) under uncultured bacterium. RNAcentral's name for it is "partial 16S ribosomal RNA". It matches the Rfam family "Bacterial small subunit ribosomal RNA", at positions 354 to 796 of the family's 1533-position model. The record is from RNAcentral.
GUAAGGAGUUUUCGGCAAUGGGGGGAACCCUGACCGAGCAACGCCGCGUGAGUGAUGACGGCCCUAUGGGUUGUAAAGCUCUGUUAUAAGGGACGAACAGCUUUGCUAGGAAAUGAGCAGAGUCUGACGGUACUUUAUCAGAAAGCCGCGGCUAACUACGUGCCAGCAGCCGCGGUAAUACGUAGGUGGCAAGCGUUAUCCGGAAUUAUUGGGCGUAAAGAGUGAGCAGGCGGCAGAGUAAGUAUGAGGUUAAAGCGUGUGGCUCAACCCCAUAAAGCCUUGAAAACUGAUCAGCUAGAGUACGAGAGAUGUGAAGGGAACUCCAUGUGUAGCGGUGAAAUGCGUAGAUAUAUGGAAGAACACCAGUGGCGAAGGCGCUUCACAAGCUCGAAACUGACGCUCAGUCACGAAAGCGUGGGUAGCAAAUAGGAUUAGAUACCCUAGUAGUCC